AGAGUUUGAUCAUGGCUCAGAAUCAACGCUGGCGGCGUGCCUAACACAUGCAAGUCGAACGCGGUUAUCCAGCAAUGGAUGACUGAGUGGCGAACGGGUGAGUAACACGUGGGUGACCUACCUUCGAGUGGGGGAUAACGUCCCGAAAGGGACGCUAAUACCGCAUAACAUCCUGCCUUUGAACAGGCGGUGAUCAAAGCCGGGGACCGUAAGCCCGGCGCUUGAUGAGGGGCUCGNGUCUGAUUAGCUAGUUGGUGAGGUAAUGGCCCACCAAGGCGACGAUCAGUAUCCGGCCUGAGAGGGCGGACGGACACACUGGGANUGAGACACGGCCCAGACUCCUACGGGAGGCAGCAGUGGGGAAUUGUUCACAAUGGGCGCAAGCCUGAUGACGCAACGCCGCGUGGAGGAUGAAGGUCUUCGGAUUGUAAACUCCUGUUGCCCGGGACGAAAAGUUUUGACCCAACAGGUCAGAGUCUGACG
Molecule: ribosomal RNA, 483 nt
Filed under: uncultured bacterium Riz1054
Lineage: Bacteria
Description: bacterial SSU rRNA
Rfam family: Bacterial small subunit ribosomal RNA
Source: RNAcentral